UGUCCAGAGAGAGCCUGACCUGGAGACUGACUGAAAUAUGGCCAGAGAAAGGAGGACUUUCAAGAGGAGCAAGGAUCUGCUAAUUAUUGGACGAUACCAAAGGCAGCAAAAGAGAAACUGGUAAAAUGGAUGAAAGAUUAAACUGAGAGGAGGCAAGACUUUGGAAGGAAAUGAAACUGAAAAAUGUUUCAGAAGAAAUGAAGCUGAGAGGCAGAGCCAAGAUGACCGAGUAAAGGCAGAAAAAAAAAAAAGAAACUAAACACGUCUCUGCCUUUCUUGUAUUUUUCCAUCUUGCUUCCUCACAGAAAAUGAAAAGGACAUCUUUCAACUGUCUUGUUAGUGGGAAGAAGACUAAGCUGGAUGUCGAAUCAUAUCUCAUUCUAUUGGGGGAAAACAACAACAAACAAAACCAAGAGUCUCCAAAGAGCCAAGCUUGGCUCUGAGCUGAAGAAUCUGCAUUGGAAUCUUGACUGCCAUUUACUCCGCUCCUGCUUGCCCACAAAGGUCAGAAUCUCCAGCAGUUCACUCUCUACCAGCUUCUUGGCCAGCUCCUGAUCAGCUGCCAUCAGGUUGUAGGCAAUGACGAUGCCCCGGUGUUGGACUGACAGGCGGUCGUGAAGGCAGAGCCGCUGCAGGAUCUCUAGCCACUGGGAUGUCUAAAAGGAGAGAGAAGGCAAGCUGAGAGAUAAAAGCAGAUUCGUGAGUCCCAGAAGGGCUUCAUAAUUCUGGAGCCCAUCCCGCUGUGUGUCUAGGAGCCUUACCAAUGGACGUACUACCUCAUACACCUGCAGGAAAUGGAGAGCAGAAGGAAAUGGCACAGCUUUGAUGGGAGCCACUAGACCAACAAAUGAUAUACAUCCAUCAGGGAGCAUACUCCAUAUGGACAUAAUUACCAAGAGAAACAAAACUUCAAGAAGAAAGACCUCUGGAAAGAGAAUAUUUGGAUUAUGAAGACCAGACUCUGGCAACCUAAAAAAAGACACUGUAACCAUGGAAAGCUGUAAGAGGAUCCUGCAAAAAGAGGAAGGAAUUCCAGGCCCUUCAGUGCUAAGAGUAGUGAACUCCUUUGGCUACAUGUGUAUUCUACACAUUAUAUUCAAAGUCUGAGCCUGUUCUUCCUAUGGAUGCUGUGUGUAUAUUUGGUUUUU
This is a long non-coding RNA of Sarcophilus harrisii (Tasmanian devil), 1148 nucleotides long. RefSeq lists it as uncharacterized. NCBI's taxonomy places the organism in Eukaryota, Metazoa, Chordata, Mammalia, Dasyuromorphia, Dasyuridae. The transcript has 6 exons. The record is from RefSeq and is a predicted model, not a curated record.